GACGAACGCUGGCGGCGUGCCUAAUACAUGCAAGUUGAGCGAUGAAGAUUGGUGCUUGCACCAAUUUGAAGAGCAGCGAACGGGUGAGUAACGCGUGGGGAAUCUGCCUUUGAGCGGGGGACAACAUUUGGAAACGAAUGCUAAUACCGCAUAACAACUUUAAACAUAAGUUUUAAGUUUGAAAGAUGCAAUUGCAUCACUCAAAGAUGAUCCCGCGUUGUAUUAGCUAGUUGGUGAGGUAAAGGCUCACCAAGGCGAUGAUACAUAGCCGACCUGAGAGGGGGAUCGGCCACAUUGGAACUGAGACACGGCCCAAACUCCUACGGGAGGCAGCAGUAGGGAAUCUUCGGCAAUGGACGAAAGUCUGACCGAGCAACGCCGCGUGAGUGAAGAAGGUUUUCGGAUCGUAAAACUCUGUUGGUAGAGAAGAACGUUGGUGAGAGUGGAAAGCUCAUCAAGUGACGGUAACUACCCAGAAAGGGACGGCUAACUACGU
RNAcentral lists this ribosomal RNA (496 nucleotides) under uncultured bacterium. RNAcentral describes it as "partial 16S ribosomal RNA". It matches the Rfam family "Bacterial small subunit ribosomal RNA", at positions 28 to 506 of the family's 1533-position model. The record is from RNAcentral.